AGAUUGAACGCUGGCGGCAUGCCUUACACAUGCAAGUCGAACGGCAGCACGGACUUCGGUCUGGUGGCGAGUGGCGAACGGGUGAGUAAUAUAUCGGAACGUACCCUGGAGUGGGGGAUAACGCAGCGAAAGUUGCGCUAAUACCGCAUACGAUCUACGGA
This 161-nucleotide ribosomal RNA is filed under the name uncultured soil bacterium. RNAcentral's name for it is "partial 16S ribosomal RNA". It matches the Rfam family "Bacterial small subunit ribosomal RNA", at positions 26 to 186 of the family's 1533-position model. The record is from RNAcentral.